This 451-nucleotide ribosomal RNA is filed under the name uncultured bacterium. Its description in RNAcentral is "partial 16S ribosomal RNA". It matches the Rfam family "Bacterial small subunit ribosomal RNA", at positions 28 to 507 of the family's 1533-position model. The record is from RNAcentral.
GAUGAACGCUGGCGGCGUGCCUAACACAUGCAAGUCGAGCGGCAGCGAGGGGUGCUUGCACCCUGUCGGCGAGCGGCGGACGGCUGAGUAGCGCGUGGGAACGUGCCCCAAAGUGAGGAAUAACUGCCCGAAAGGGUAGCUAAUACCGCAUAUUAUCUUCGGAUCAAAGGAUUUAUCCGCUUUGGGAGCGGCUCGCGUCGGAUUAGGUAGUUGGUGAGGUAAUGGCUCACCAAGCCGACGAUCCGUAGCUGGUCUGAGAGGAUGACCAGCCAGACUGGAACUGAGACACGGUCCAGACUCCUACGGGAGGCAGCAGUGAGGAAUCUUCCACAAUGGGCGAAAGCCUGAUGGAGCAACGCCGCGUGCAGGACGAAGGCCUUCGGGUUGUAAACUGCUUUUAUAAGUGAGGAAUAUGACGGUAACUGAUGAAUAAGGAUCGGCUAACUACGUG